This 444-nucleotide ribosomal RNA is filed under the name uncultured bacterium. RNAcentral describes it as "bacterial SSU rRNA". It matches the Rfam family "Bacterial small subunit ribosomal RNA", at positions 337 to 796 of the family's 1533-position model. The record is from RNAcentral.
CCCUACGGGGGGCAGCAGUGAGGAAUAUUGCUCAAUGGAGGAAACUCUGAAGCAGCAACGCCGCGUGAAGGAAGAAGGCUUUCGGGUUGUAAACUUCUUUGAAUGGUGACGAAUAAAUGACGGUAACCAUAAAACAAGCCACGGCUAACUACGUGCCAGCAGCCGCGGUAAUACGUAGGUGGCAAGCGUUAUCCGGAAUUACUGGGUGUAAAGGGCGUGUAGGCGGGGAAGUAAGUCAGAUGUGAAAUGCCAAGGCUUAACCAUGGAACUGCAUCUGAAACUAUUUUUCUUGAGUGCUGGAGAGGAAAGCGGAAUUCCUAGUGUAGCGGUGAAAUGCGUAGAUAUUAGGAGGAACACCAGUGGCGAAGGCGGCUUUCUGGACAGUAACUGACGCUGAGGCGCGAAAGCGUGGGGAGCAAACAGGAUUAGAUACCCGAGUAGUCA